RNAcentral lists this unclassified non-coding RNA (430 nucleotides) under soil metagenome. RNAcentral describes it as "partial contains 5.8S ribosomal RNA, internal transcribed spacer 2, and large subunit ribosomal RNA". The stretch from base 1 to 120 matches the Rfam family "5.8S ribosomal RNA", at positions 35 to 154 of the family's 154-position model. The record is from RNAcentral.
GAUGAAGAACGUAGCAAAAUGUGAUACGUAAUGUGAAUUGCAGAAUUCAGUGAAUCAUCGAAUCUUUGAACGCAUAUUGCGCUCUCUGGUAUUCCGGAGAGCAUGCUUGUUUGAGUAUCAGUAAACACCUCAACUCCCUUUUCUUUUUUGAAAUUGGAGCUGGACUUGAGUGAUCCCAACGCUUUCUUCCAAGAAAGUGGCGGGUUGCUUGAAAUGCAGGUGCAGCUGAACUUUUCUCUGAGCUAUAAGCAUAUCUAUUUAGUCUGCCUAAAAAACAGAUUAUUACCUUUGCUGCAGCUAACAUAAAGGAGACUAGUUCUUGUGCUGACUGAUGCAGGAUUCACAGAGACAGCUUCGGCUGACUUUGUAAACUCGAUCUCAAAUCAAGUAAGACUACCCGCUGAACUUAAGCAUAUCAAUAAGCGGAGGA